RNAcentral lists this ribosomal RNA (253 nucleotides) under uncultured bacterium. RNAcentral's name for it is "partial 16S ribosomal RNA". It matches the Rfam family "Bacterial small subunit ribosomal RNA", at positions 524 to 776 of the family's 1533-position model. The record is from RNAcentral.
UACAGAGGUGGCAAGCGUUGUUCGGAAUUACUGGGCGUAAAGGGCGCGUAGGCGGCCUUCUAAGUCAGACGUGAAAUCCCCCGGCUUAACCUGGGAACUGCGUCUGAUACUGGGAGGCUUGAGUAUGGGAGAGGGAUGUAGAAUUCCAGGUGUAGCGGUGAAAUGCGUAGAUAUCUGGAGGAACACCUGUGGCGAAAGCGGCUCACUGGACCACAACUGACGCUGAGGCGCGAAAGCUAGGGGAGCAAACAGG